UUAAUAUAUGGAAGGAGAAAAGGUUAGCACUGCCCUUGAUAAGAAUGGAAAAGGUCCUGGUGUCCUUUACAGUACACAUAUGUCUAAGGCAUUGCCACCUACUCUGUAGCAUCUAAAUAUGUUUUUAG
This is a small nuclear RNA of Monodelphis domestica (gray short-tailed opossum), 128 nucleotides long. The record is from Ensembl. NCBI's taxonomy places the organism in Eukaryota, Metazoa, Chordata, Mammalia, Didelphimorphia, Didelphidae.